RNAcentral lists this ribosomal RNA (445 nucleotides) under uncultured bacterium. Its description in RNAcentral is "partial 16S ribosomal RNA". It matches the Rfam family "Bacterial small subunit ribosomal RNA", at positions 354 to 796 of the family's 1533-position model. The record is from RNAcentral.
GUGAGGAAUAUUGCGCAAUGGAGGCAACUCUGACGCAGCCACGCCGCGUGCAGGAAGAAGGCGCUACGCGUUGUAAACUGCUUUUAACCGGGAAGAAACCCCAGGACGUGUCCUGGGUUGACGGUACCGGAGGAAUAAGCACCGGCUAACUUCGUGCCAGCAGCCGCGGUAAUACGAAGGGUGCAAGCGUUAUCCGGAUUCAUUGGGUUUAAAGGGUGCGUAGGCGGGGCGUUAAGUCAGUGGUGAAAUCCUGCAGCUCAACUGUAGACUUGCCAUUGAUACUGGCGCUCUUGAGUGCGCUUGAAGUAGGCGGAAUGUGCCGUGUAGCGGUGAAAUGCUUAGAUAUGGCACAGAACACCAAUUGCGAAGGCAGCUUACUAAGGCGAUACUGACGCUGAGGCACGAAAGCGUGGGGAUCGAACAGGAUUAGAAACCCUUGUAGUCC